AGUGAACGCUGGCGGUAGGCCUAACACAUGCAAGUCGAACGGCAGCACAGUAAGAGCUUGCUCUUACGGGUGGCGAGUGGAGGACGGGUGAGGAAUACAUCGGAAUCUACUUUUUCGCGGGGGAUAAGGUAGGGAAACUUACGCUAAUACCGCAUACGACCUACGGGUGAAAGCAGGGGAUCUUCGGACCUUGCGCGAUUGAAUGAGCCGAUGUCGGAUUAGCUAGUUGGCGGGGUAAAGGCCCACCAAGGCGACGAUCCGUAGCUGGUCUGAGAGGAUGAUCAGCCACACUGGAACUGAGACACGGUCCAGACUCCUACGGGAGGCAGCAGUGGGGAAUAUUGGACAAUGGGCGCAAGCCUGAUCCAGCCAUACCGCGUGGGUGAAGAAGGCCUUCGGGUUGUAAAGCCCUUUUGUUGGGAAAGAAAAGCAGCAGGUUAAUACCCCGCUGUUCUGACGGUACCCAAAGAAUAAGCACCGGCUAACUUCGUG
This 492-nucleotide ribosomal RNA is filed under the name uncultured bacterium. RNAcentral's name for it is "partial 16S ribosomal RNA". It matches the Rfam family "Bacterial small subunit ribosomal RNA", at positions 29 to 507 of the family's 1533-position model. The record is from RNAcentral.